RNAcentral lists this ribosomal RNA (270 nucleotides) under uncultured bacterium. Its description in RNAcentral is "partial 16S ribosomal RNA". It matches the Rfam family "Bacterial small subunit ribosomal RNA", at positions 83 to 354 of the family's 1533-position model. The record is from RNAcentral.
UGUAAAAUCUUAGUGGCGGACGGGUGAGUAACGCGUGGGUAACCUGCCUUACACUGGGGGAUAACACUUAGAAAUAGGUGCUAAUACCGCAUAAGCGCACGAAGCCGCAUGGAUUUGUGUGAAAAACUCCGGUGGUGUAAGAUGGACCCGCGUCUGAUUAGCUUGUUGGCGGGGAACGGCCCACCAAGGCGACGAUCAGUAGCCGGCCUGAGAGGGUGGACGGCCACAUUGGGACUGAGACACGGCCCAAACUCCUACGGAAGGCAGCAG